Long non-coding RNA from Lagopus leucura (white-tailed ptarmigan), 1246 nucleotides. RefSeq lists it as uncharacterized. Lineage: Eukaryota; Metazoa; Chordata; Aves; Galliformes; Phasianidae. The transcript is spliced from 3 exons. The record is from RefSeq and is a predicted model, not a curated record.
UUUACUGCAGCCUUUUGAAGAGGCAUCUGCUGUCAACCCCAUCCAGAUAAAAAAUGCAAGCAGCAAAUGUCAUGAACACUGUGUACCUUAGACACACUGCCAGUCAUCUGAAAUGAGCAUUCUUCUCACAGGACGGCUGAGGUGUCUUCAGUGUCCAUCUGCUCAAACCCUUGCCUGCGCGGGGACACUCAAAGGACUGUCCAGGCAGCUUCUGAAGAUCUCUGUGGAGGAGACACCAUAGCUUCCCUGGACAACCUGUGUCAGUGCUCCAUCAUCUACAUAACACAGAAGUGCUGCUUGAUUUUCAGUGGGAACUUCCUCUAUUUCAUUUUGUUUCUCAGGGCCCACUGGAAACAAAUGAAAAGAAUUGUAAGAGUGGUUCUGUCUCCUUUGCACCCAUUCUUCAGAUAUUCAUAAAUGUUAAUGAAAUCAUCCCUGAAUCCCUGUUUAGCUCCAGGCUGAACAGUCCCAAAUCUUUCUGCCUCUCCUCACAGGAGAGGUGCUCCAAUCUCUUCCGUAUCUUCAUGGCCCUUCUCAGAAGUCUGUAUCUUCUCCAGUAUGCCUACAUCUCUUGUGUGGGGGAUCACAGCAUAGGACCUACUGGUGUGACCUCACAGGUGCUGGGUAGAGGGGACCUUCCCCAUUGCCUUGACACAGCCCAUGGUACCACUAGCUUUCUUCAUAGCAAAGGAACAUUGGUGGCUCCUAUUCAGCUUAAUGUCCACCUCACACAUCCAGGUCCUUCUGUGCUAAGCUGCUAACUUUUAGCAAUUUUAAGCACAAGGAGGCUUUCCAACUAUUGAUGUUACUGAAGACUUCCAUGCUUCUUGGAGAAAUGACCAACAAAGCAUUCUCUGAACCUUUCAGGCAGCUGGUAGGCUCAUAGUCCAUGUGGAACUGAUAACAAACAGCCAGAUGUAUAAUCCUGGAGCAAGCUGUCAAGUAGGGUCAUUAAAACAGCUAACAGCGCACCUCUCCCUUAUCAAACAGUAGGGCUGAGCUAGUGAGAAUAGGCAGGGAGAGGUCAGACCAUGGAUGAGUAGAUCUAAACACAAGACAUAGAAGGGUGUGGAGAAGGGCACCUAGGAGGUACAUACACAGGUACUGCACUAACGCUGUCCUGGCCUGCUGAGACAGCUAACCCCAAGUUGCCUCGAGUGAGAAGCGACAUUCUCCACUCUGCCCUGUAAACACUGCCUGCCAGCUCCUGUUUUGUGCUCGCGGUGACGACGCCUCACACCCGCAG